GCACUGGUGUAGCUCAGUGGUUACUUCGACCAUCAAUUCUCUCUCAGAAUUCGAACCGUCUCUAUCCCUCCGUGGGAUCGAACCACGGGCACUGUCCAGUGCUUUU
This 106-nucleotide vault RNA is filed under the name Sphaeramia orbicularis (orbiculate cardinalfish). RNAcentral describes it as "Vault RNA (ENSSORG00005025408.1)". It matches the Rfam family "Vault RNA". From Rfam's summary of the family: This family of RNAs are found as part of the enigmatic vault ribonucleoprotein complex. The complex consists of a major vault protein (MVP), two minor vault proteins (VPARP and TEP1), and several small untranslated RNA molecules. The record is from Rfam by way of RNAcentral. Lineage: Eukaryota; Metazoa; Chordata; Actinopteri; Kurtiformes; Apogonidae.